AGUAGAAGGAACAACCUACGGGUUCUGGGUCUCGAAGAAUUAAUCGAAGGCCAAAUCUAGAGGAGUUUCGAUUCUCAUAGAUAAUACACUUUCCUUUGUCCAACAUAAGAUAAUUGCAAACAGAUGGAUUAAUCCAUUUCUUAUGCGGAAAUCGCCGAGGCUAUACGUUCAUUACACUCGGGGAAGGCUCCGGAUCCAGCCUUCCUCUGUUUGAUGGAGUAAACACACAUCGUAAGAAAG
Mobula hypostoma (lesser devil ray) is the source of this 240-nucleotide long non-coding RNA. RefSeq lists it as uncharacterized. NCBI's taxonomy places the organism in Eukaryota, Metazoa, Chordata, Chondrichthyes, Myliobatiformes, Myliobatidae. The record is from RefSeq and is a predicted model, not a curated record. The transcript is spliced from 4 exons.